GUGCCUGCUUCGGCAGCACAUGCACUAAAAUUGGAAUGAUACAGUAGAUUAGCAUGGCCCCUGCGCAAGGAUGACUCACAAAUUCAUGAAGUGUUCCAUAUUUAA
This is a small nuclear RNA of Eptesicus fuscus (big brown bat), 105 nucleotides long. Lineage: Eukaryota; Metazoa; Chordata; Mammalia; Chiroptera; Vespertilionidae. The record is from RefSeq and is a predicted model, not a curated record.